Molecule: ribosomal RNA, 439 nt
Filed under: uncultured bacterium
Lineage: Bacteria
Description: partial 16S ribosomal RNA
Rfam family: Bacterial small subunit ribosomal RNA
Source: RNAcentral
AGCGAACGCUGGCGGCAGGCCUAACACAUGCGAGUCGAACGAACCUUUCGGGGUUAGUGGCGGACGGGUGAGUAACACGUGGGAACGUGCCUUUAGGUUCGGAAUAACUCAGGGAAACUUGUGCUAAUACCGAAUGUGCCCUUCGGGGGAAAGAUUUAUCGCCUUUAGAGCGGCCCGCGGCUGAUUAGCUAGUUGGGUGAGGUAAUGGCUCACCAAGGCGACGAUCAGUAGCUGGUCUGAGAGGAGGAUCGGCCACAUUGGGACUGAGACACGGCCCAGACUCCUCCGGGAGGGAGCAGGGGGGGAUAUUGCACAAUGGGCGGACGCCUGAUGCAGCAACGCCGCGGGCGGGAUGAAGGCCUUCGGGUUGGAAACAGCGUUCGCCUGUGACGAAGCGUGAGUGACGGUAAUGGGUAAAGAAGCACCGGCUAAUUACGUG